GAUGAACGCUGGCGGCGUGCCUAAUACAUGCAAGUCGAGCGAACAGACGAGGAGCUUGCUCCUCUGACGUUAGCGGCGGACGGGUGAGUAACACGUGGAUAACCUACCUAUAAGACUGGGAUAACUUCGGGAAACCGGAGCUAAUACCGGAUAAUAUAUUGAACCGCAUGGUUCAAUAGUGAAAGACGGUUUUGCUGUCACUUAUAGAUGGAUCCGCGCCGCAUUAGCUAGUUGGUAAGGUAACGGCUUACCAAGGCAACGAUGCGUAGCCGACCUGAGAGGGUGAUCCGCCACACUAGAACUGAGACACGGUCCAGACUCCUACGGGAGGCAGAAGUAGGGAAUCUUCCGCAAUGGGCGAAAGCCUGACGGAGCAAAGCCGCGUGAGUGAUAAAGGUCUUCGGAUCGUAAAACUCUGUUAUUAGGGAAGAACAAAUGUGUAAGUAACUAUGCACGUCUUGACGGUACCUAAUCAGAAAGCCACGGCUAACUACGUG
Molecule: ribosomal RNA, 497 nt
Filed under: uncultured bacterium
Lineage: Bacteria
Description: partial 16S ribosomal RNA
Rfam family: Bacterial small subunit ribosomal RNA
Source: RNAcentral